CCCGGCACAAGCGGAGGAGCAUGUGGUUUAAUUCGAUGAUACGCGAGGAACCUUACCUGGGCUCGAACGUAAGAUGACUGUAGGUGAAAGCUUACAUCUCUUCGGAGCAUUUUACGAGGUGCUGCAUGGUUGUCGUCAGCUCGUGCCGUGAGGUGUCGGGUUAAGUCCCAUAACGAGCGCAACCCUACCUUUAGUUGCCAUCAGGUAAUGCUGGGGACUCUAAAGGAACUGCCUACGCAAGUAGUGAGGAAGGCGGGGAUGACGUCAAAUCAGCACGGCCCUUACGUCCAGGGCUACACACGUGCUACAAUGGCCGAUACAGAGGGCAGCUACCUGGUGACAGGAUGCAAAUCUCCAAAGUCGGUCUCAGUUCGGAUCGGAGUCUGCAACCCGACUCCGUGAAGUUGGAUUCGCUAGUAAUCGCGCAUCAGCCAUGGCGCGGUGAAUACGUUCCCGGGCCUU
This 462-nucleotide ribosomal RNA is filed under the name uncultured Sphingobacteriales bacterium. RNAcentral describes it as "bacterial SSU rRNA". It matches the Rfam family "Bacterial small subunit ribosomal RNA", at positions 920 to 1382 of the family's 1533-position model. Lineage: Bacteria; Pseudomonadati; Bacteroidota; Sphingobacteriia; Sphingobacteriales. The record is from RNAcentral.